AGAGUUUGAUCCUGGCUCAGGACGAACGCUGGCGGCGUGCUUAACACAUGCAAGUCGAGCGAUGAAGCUUCCUUCGGGAAGUGGAUUAGCGGCGGACGGGUGAGUAACACGUGGGUAACCUGCCUCAAAGUGGGGGAUAGCCUUCCGAAAGGAAGAUUAAUACCGCAUAAUAUGAGAGAAUCGCAUGAUUUUCUUAUCAAAGAUUUAUUGCUUUGAGAUGGACCCGCGGCGCAUUAGCUAGUUGGUAAGGUAACGGCUUACCAAGGCAACGAUGCGUAGCCGACCUGAGAGGGUGAUCGGCCACAUUGGAACUGAGACACGGUCCAGACUCCUACGGGAGGCAGCAGUGGGGAAUAUUGCGCAAUGGGGGAAACCCUGACGCAGCAACGCCGCGUGGGUGAUGAAGGUCUUCGGAUUGUAAAACCCUGUUUUCUAGGACGAUAAUGACGGUACUAGAGGAGGAAGCCACGGCUAACUACGUGCCAGCAGCCGCGGUAAUACGUAGGUGGCGAGCGUUGUCCGGAUUUACUGGGCGUAAAGGGUGCGUAGGCGGAUGUUUAAGUGGGAUGUGAAAUCCCCGGGCUUAACCUGGGGGCUGCAUUCCAAACUGGAUAUCUAGAGUGCAGGAGAGGAAAGCGGAAUUCCUAGUGUAGCGGUGAAAUGCGUAGAGAUUAGGAAGAACACCAGUGGCGAAGGCGGCUUUCUGGACUGUAACUGACGCUGAGGCACGAAAGCGUGGGUAGCAAACAGGAUUAGAUACCCUGGUAGUCCACGCCGUAAACGAUGGAUACUAGGUGUAGGGGGUAUCAACUCCCCCUGUGCCGCAGUUAACACAAUAAGUAUCCCGCCUGGGGAGUACGGUCGCAAGAUUAAAACUCAAAGGAAUUGACGGGGGCCCGCACAAGCAGCGGAGCAUGUGGUUUAAUUCGAAGCAACGCGAAGAACCUUACCUGGACUUGACAUCCCUUGCAUAGCCUAGAGAUAGGUGAAGCCCUUCGGGGCAAGGAGACAGGUGGUGCAUGGUUGUCGUCAGCUCGUGUCGUGAGAUGUUAGGUUAAGUCCUGCAACGAGCGCAACCCUUGUUAUUAGUUGCUACCAUUAAGUUGAGCACUCUAAUGAGACUGCCUGGGUAACCAGGAGGAAGGUGGGGAUGACGUCAAAUCAUCAUGCCCCUUAUGUCCAGGGCUACACACGUGCUACAAUGGUAGGUACAAUAAGACGCAAGACCGUGAGGUGGAGCAAAACUUAUAAAACCUAUCUCAGUUCGGAUUGUAGGCUGCAACUCGCCUACAUGAAGCUGGAGUUGCUAGUAAUCGCGAAUCAGAAUGUCGCGGUGAAUACGUUCCCGGGCCUUGUACACACCGCCCGUCACACCAUGAGAGCUGGUAACACCCGAAGUCCGUGAGGUAACCGUAAGGAACCAGCGGCCGAAGGUGGGAUUAGUGAUUGGGGUGAAGUCGUAACAAGGUAGCCGUAGGAGAACCUGCGGCUGGAUCACCUCC
RNAcentral lists this ribosomal RNA (1502 nucleotides) under Clostridium botulinum Bf. Its description in RNAcentral is "bacterial SSU rRNA". It matches the Rfam family "Bacterial small subunit ribosomal RNA". The record is from RNAcentral. Lineage: Bacteria; Bacillati; Bacillota; Clostridia; Eubacteriales; Clostridiaceae.